Molecule: long non-coding RNA, 302 nt
Organism: Pogonomyrmex barbatus (red harvester ant)
Lineage: Eukaryota; Metazoa; Arthropoda; Insecta; Hymenoptera; Formicidae
Source: RefSeq, a predicted model, not a curated record
UAGUUCACAGAAUGUAUCGUUUGAAGACCAAUCUUCUAUCCUCCUACAAGCGGUGCUGGCUAUUGUAGGCUUAUGUAGCAAAGAAUUAUCGACUACUACAGUUAUGGCAAAACAUGCAUGAUAUAUAUUUAUCAGCUGUUUAAGUUGUUUACUAAGCAUAUUGAGAUGAAACUUAAGUAAAAAUAAAGUAUUGUGAUCAUAUCUUGAAUAGAUAAUAAAAACUGUAUAUUAUUAACCAAUACCACUACAGCACUCUGAUUUCUCAUACAUGAGAAGCAAAAUUACUGCAUAAUGACAUAUCA